RNAcentral lists this ribosomal RNA (532 nucleotides) under uncultured bacterium. RNAcentral describes it as "bacterial SSU rRNA". It matches the Rfam family "Bacterial small subunit ribosomal RNA", at positions 979 to 1509 of the family's 1533-position model. The record is from RNAcentral.
CCUUGACAUACUAAGAACUUUCCAGAGAUGGAUUGGUGCCGUUCGGGAACUUAGAUACAGGUGCUGCAUGGCUGUCGUCAGCUCGUGUCGUGAGAUGUUGGGUUAAGUCCCGCAACGAGCGCAACCCUUUUCCUUAUUUGCCAGCGGGUUAAGCCGGGAACUUUAAGGAUACUGCCAGUGACAAACUGGAGGAAGGCGGGGACGACGUCAAGUCAUCAUGGCCCUUACGGCCAGGGCUACACACGUGCUACAAUGGUCGGUACAAAGGGUUGCUACCUCGCGAGAGGAUGCUAAUCUCAAAAAGCCGAUCGUAGUCCGGAUCGCAGUCUGCAACUCGACUGCGUGAAGUCGGAAUCGCUAGUAAUCGCGGAUCAGAAUGCCGCGGUGAAUACGUUCCCGGGCCUUGUACACACCGCCCGUCACACCAUGGGAGUUUGUUGCACCAGAAGUAGGUAGUCUAACCGCAAGGAGGACGCUUACCACGGUGUGGCCGAUGACUGGGGUGAAGUCGUAACAAGGUAAGCGUAGAUGA